RNAcentral lists this ribosomal RNA (1355 nucleotides) under uncultured bacterium. Its description in RNAcentral is "bacterial SSU rRNA". It matches the Rfam family "Bacterial small subunit ribosomal RNA", at positions 28 to 1381 of the family's 1533-position model. The record is from RNAcentral.
AUUGAACGCUGGCGGCAGGCUUAACACAUGCAAGUCGAACGAUGACUCUCUAGCUUGCUAGAGAAGAUUAGUGGCGGACGGGUGAGUAACAUUUAGGAAUCUGCCUAGUAGUGGGGGAUAGCUCGGGGAAACUCGAAUUAAUACCGCAUACGACCUACGGGUGAAAGGGGGCGCAAGCUCUUGCUAUUAGAUGAGCCUAAAUCAGAUUAGCUAGUUGGUGGGGUAAAGGCCCACCAAGGCGACGAUCUGUAACUGGUCUGAGAGGAUGAUCAGUCACACCGGAACUGAGACACGGUCCGGACUCCUACGGGAGGCAGCAGUGGGGAAUAUUGGACAAUGGGGGCAACCCUGAUCCAGCCAUGCCGCGUGUGUGAAGAAGGCCUUUUGGUUGUAAAGCACUUUAAGCAGGGAGGAGAGACUAAUGGUUAAUACCCAUUAGAUUAGACGUUACCUGCAGAAUAAGCACCGGCUAACUCUGUGCCAGCAGCCGCGGUAAUACAGAGGGUGCGAGCGUUAAUCGGAAUUACUGGGCGUAAAGCGAGUGUAGGUGGCUCAUUAAGUCACAUGUGAAAUCCCCGGGCUUAACCUGGGAACUGCAUGUGAUACUGGUGGUGCUAGAAUAUGUGAGAGGGAAGUAGAAUUCCAGGUGUAGCGGUGAAAUGCGUAGAGAUCUGGAGGAAUACCGAUGGCGAAGGCAGCUUCCUGGCAUAAUAUUGACACUGAGAUUCGAAAGCGUGGGUAGCAAACAGGAUUAGAUACCCUGGUAGUCCACGCCGUAAACGAUGUCUACUAGCCGUUGGGGUCCUUGAGACUUUAGUGGCGCAGUUAACGCGAUAAGUAGACCGCCUGGGGAGUACGGCCGCAAGGUUAAAACUCAAAUGAAUUGACGGGGGCCCGCACAAGCGGUGGGGCAUGUGGUUUAAUUCGAUGCAACGCGAAGAACCUUACCUGGUCUUGACAUAGUGAGAAUCCUGUAGAGAUGCGGGAGUGCCUUCGGGAAUUCACAUACAGGUGCUGCAUGGCUGUCGUCAGCUCGUGUCGUGAGAUGUUGGGUUAAGUCCCGCAACGAGCGCAACCCUUUUCCUUAUUUGCCAGCGGGUUAAGCCGGGAACUUUAAGGAUACUGCCAGUGACAAACUGGAGGAAGGCGGGGACGACGUCAAGUCAUCAUGGCCCUUACGACCAGGGCUACACACGUGCUACAAUGGUAGGUACAGAGGGUUGCUACACAGCGAUGUGAUGCUAAUCUCAAAAAGCCUAUCGUAGUCCGGAUUGGAGUCUGCAACUCGACUCCAUGAAGUCGGAAUCGCUAGUAAUCGCAGAUCAGAAUGCUGCGGUGAAUACGUUCCCGGGCCU